This 27-nucleotide non-coding RNA is filed under the name Mus musculus (house mouse). RNAcentral also lists the same sequence under 1 other name. Lineage: Eukaryota; Metazoa; Chordata; Mammalia; Rodentia; Muridae. The record is from RNAcentral.
UGGAUCUGAUGGAGAGGAGGUUCAGAC